UCCCCUGUAAUAAUGUUGCUCUGCCAGCCCUAUACACGAGAGGGGGACUAUAUAAGAAUCAAUGGAGCUGUCACUACCACGAACUACCCCGCGGUCUGGCAUAUAGGGUACAAUCGCAGAUAAAUACGGUAUAGGCACGACGCCUACACAAUACUUAUCAUUUACCCACUAUACACAUGGAUAAACGCCAUACGAUCCUAAACAUGUAUAUAAUUCCAAUCUAACUAAGCCAAGCAUAUAACUAUGAUAAACUAAGAACAAUAUAAUUGCAAAUAUAACAAGUAGAGCAAAGUCAUAAUCAAUAUAUUGAAGUAGAAUAAAGUCAUAUUGAUAAUAUUGAAGAACAAUGAUGAGCAAAUGAAGAACAGUAGAGGUAUUACCAAGAAUCCUCUUGACAGAUCCGGAAACCAAUCAAAGAUUGACUCCUUCUAGUUCU
This 436-nucleotide long non-coding RNA is filed under the name Sorghum bicolor (sorghum). Its description in RNAcentral is "long non-coding RNA (SBIC_LNC006335)". Lineage: Eukaryota; Viridiplantae; Streptophyta; Magnoliopsida; Poales; Poaceae. The record is from RNAcentral.